Molecule: ribosomal RNA, 999 nt
Rfam family: Eukaryotic small subunit ribosomal RNA
AGCGAAUGGCUCAUUAAAUCAGUUAUCGUUUAUUUGAUAGUACCUUACUACAUGGAUAACCGUGGUAAUUCUAGAGCUAAUACAUGCUAAAAACCCCAACUUCGGGAGGGGUGUAUUUAUUAGAUAAAAAACCAACGCCCUUCGGGGCUUCUUGGUGAUUCAUAAUAACUUUACGGAUCGCAUGGCCUUGCGCCGGCGACGGUUCAUUCAAAUUUCUGCCCUAUCAACUUUCGAUGGUAAGGUAUUGGCUUACCAUGGUUUCAACGGGUAACGGGGAAUUAGGGUUCGAUUCCGGAGAGGGAGCCUGAGAAACGGCUACCACAUCCAAGGAAGGCAGCAGGCGCGCAAAUUACCCAAUCCCGACACGGGGAGGUAGUGACAAUAAAUACUGAUACAGGGCUCUUUUGGGUCUUGUAAUUGGAAUGAGUACAAUUUAAACCUCUUAACGAGGAACAAUUGGAGGGCAAGUCUGGUGCCAGCAGCCGCGGUAAUUCCAGCUCCAAUAGCGUAUAUUAAAGUUGUUGCAGUUAAAAAGCUCGUAGUUGAAACUUGGGUCUGGCUGGCAGGUCCGCCUCACCGCGUGUACUUGUCCGGCCGGGCCUUCCUUCUGGAGAACCUCAUGCCCUUCACUGGGCGUGUUGGGGACCAGGACUUUUACUUUGAAAAAAUUAGAGUGUUCAAAGCAGGCCUUUGCUCGAAUACGUUAGCAUGGAAUAAUAGAAUAGGACGUGCGGUCCUAUUUUGUUGGUUUCUAGGACCGCCGUAAUGAUUAAUAGGGACAGUCGGGGGCAUCAGUAUUCAAUUGUCAGAGGUGAAAUUCUUGGAUUUAUUGAAGACUAACUACUGCGAAAGCAUUUGCCAAGGAUGUUUUCAUUAAUCAGUGAACGAAAGUUAGGGGAUCGAAGACGAUCAGAUACCGUCGUAGUCUUAACCGUAAACUAUGCCGACUAGGGAUCGGGCGAUGUUCUUUUUCUGACUCGCUCGGCACCUUACUGAGAA